GACGAACGCUGGCGGCGUGGAUUAGGCAUGCAAGUCGAACGGUAUCAUCCUUUCGGGGGUGAGAGAGUGGCGAACUGGUGAGUAACACGUAGGUUAUCUACCCUCAAGACGGGGACAACCCAGGGAAACUUGGGCUAAUACCGGAUGUGAGCAACUUUUUAGUUGUUUGAAAGGUGGCGUAAGCUGUCGCUUGGGGAUGAGCCUGCGUCCUAUUAGUUAGUUGGUGAGGUAACGGCUCACCUAGGCAAUGAUAGGUAGGCGGCCUUAACGGGUGGUCGCCCACACUGGGAUUGAGAUACGGCCCAGACUCCUACGGGAGGCAGCAGUCGAGAAUAGUCUACAAUGGUCGGAAGACUGAUAGUGCGACGCCGCGUGAACGAUGAAUCCCUUCGGGGUGUAAAGUUCUUUUAUAUGUGAGCAGUGCUUCUUAUAUUAACAGUAUGGGGAGAGAGAUAUUAGCAUAUGAAUAAGCAACGGCUAACUCCGUGCCAGCAGCCGCGGUAAGCACG
RNAcentral lists this ribosomal RNA (509 nucleotides) under uncultured bacterium. RNAcentral's name for it is "bacterial SSU rRNA". It matches the Rfam family "Bacterial small subunit ribosomal RNA", at positions 28 to 527 of the family's 1533-position model. The record is from RNAcentral.